CCUACGGGAGGCUGCAGUGGGGAAUAUUGGACAAUGGACCAAAAGUCUGAUCCAGCAAUUCUGUGUGCACGAUGACGUUUUUCGGAAUGUAAAGUGCUUUCAGUUGGGAAGAAAAAAAUGACGGUACCAACAGAAGAAGUGACGGCUAAAUACGUGCCAGCAGCCGCGGUAAUACGUAUGUCACAAGCGUUAUCCGGAUUUAUUGGGCGUAAAGCGCGUCUAGGUGGUUAUGUAAGUCUGAUGUGAAAAUGCAGGGCUCAACUCUGUAUUGCGUUGGAAACUGUGUAACUAGAGUACUGGAGAGGUAAGCGGAACUACAAGUGUAGAGGUGAAAUUCGUAGAUAUUUGUAGGAAUGCCGAUGGGGAAGCCAGCUUACUGGACAGAUACUGACGCUAAAGCGCGAAAGCGUGGGUAGCAUACAGGAUUAGAUACCCCAGUAGUC
RNAcentral lists this ribosomal RNA (443 nucleotides) under uncultured Fusobacterium sp. RNAcentral's name for it is "bacterial SSU rRNA". It matches the Rfam family "Bacterial small subunit ribosomal RNA", at positions 338 to 795 of the family's 1533-position model. Lineage: Bacteria; Fusobacteriati; Fusobacteriota; Fusobacteriia; Fusobacteriales; Fusobacteriaceae. The record is from RNAcentral.